UCAGAACGUGGCCGAGAUAGUUAGGCACCUCCCUUACACUGAGAAUACAUCCAUGCAAGUUGGAUCGUUCUGAGCCU
RNAcentral lists this transfer RNA (77 nucleotides) under Megalamphodus megalopterus (black phantom tetra). Its description in RNAcentral is "Hyphessobrycon megalopterus (black phantom tetra) tRNA-Val". Lineage: Eukaryota; Metazoa; Chordata; Actinopteri; Characiformes; Acestrorhamphidae. The record is from RNAcentral.